CCUACGGGACGCAGCAGUGGGGAAUAUUGCGCAAUGGGGGGAACCCUGACGCAGCAACGCCGCGUGCAGGAAGAAGGUCUUCGGAUUGUAAACUGUUGUCGCAGGGGAAGAAGACAGUGACGGUACCCUGUGAGAAAGUCACGGCUAACUACGUGCCAGCAGCCGCGGUAAUACGUAGGUGGCAAGCGUUGUUCGGAAUAACUGGGCGUAAAGGAUGCGUAGGCGGUUAAACAAGUUAUAUGUUAAAUAUAUAGGCUUAACCUGUAGAAAGCAUAUAAAACUGUUUAACUAGAGUGCAGGAGAGG
This 305-nucleotide ribosomal RNA is filed under the name uncultured bacterium. Its description in RNAcentral is "bacterial SSU rRNA". It matches the Rfam family "Bacterial small subunit ribosomal RNA", at positions 338 to 657 of the family's 1533-position model. The record is from RNAcentral.